This 18-nucleotide unclassified non-coding RNA is filed under the name Chlamydomonas reinhardtii. Its description in RNAcentral is "small RNA Cre_0640". The record is from RNAcentral. Lineage: Eukaryota; Viridiplantae; Chlorophyta; Chlorophyceae; Chlamydomonadales; Chlamydomonadaceae.
AGUGGUCGGACCGGCAAC